GACGAACGCUGGCGGCGUGCUUAACACAUGCAAGUCGAACGGGAUUUAGUAAACAGAACCCUCGGUGGAAGAUUACUAAUGAGAGUGGCGAACGGGUGAGUAACGCGUGAGCAACCUGCCUAUGACAGUGGGAUAGCCUCGGGAAACCGGGAUUAAUACCGCAUAAAAUCGUAGAAACACAUGUUUUAACGGUCAAAGAUUUAUCGGUCAUAGAUGGGCUCGCGUCUGAUUAGCUAGUUGGUGAGAUAACAGCCCACCAAGGCGACGAUCAGUAGCCGGUCUGAGAGGAUGAACGGCCACAUUGGAACUGAGACACGGUCCAAACUCCUACGGGAAGCAGCAGUGGGGAAUAUUGCACAAUGGGGGAAACCCUGAUGCAGCGACGCCGCGUGAACGAAGAAGGUAUUCGUAUCGUAAAGUUCUGUCCUAUGGGAAGAUAAUGACAGUACCAUAGAAGAAAGCUCCGGCUAAAUACGUG
This 478-nucleotide ribosomal RNA is filed under the name uncultured bacterium. RNAcentral's name for it is "partial 16S ribosomal RNA". It matches the Rfam family "Bacterial small subunit ribosomal RNA", at positions 28 to 507 of the family's 1533-position model. The record is from RNAcentral.